GUGAGGAAUUUUCCGCAAUGGGCGAAAGCCUGACGGAGCAAUGCCGCGUGAAGGAUGAAGGCCUAUGGGUUGUAAACUUCUUUUCUCAGAAAAGAAUUAUGACGGUAUCUGAGGAAUAAGCAUCGGCUAACUCUGUGCCAGCAGCCGCGGUAAGACAGAGGAUGCAAGCGUUAUCCGGAAUGAUUGGGCGUAAAGCGUCUGUAGGUUGUUUAAAAAGUAUUCUGUCAAAGAUUAGGGCUUAACCCUAGAUAGGCAGAAUAAACUUUUAAGCUAGAGUUUGGUAGAGGCAGAGGGAAUUCCCGGUGGAGCGGUGAAAUGCGUAGAUAUCGGGAGGAACACCAAAGGCGAAGGCACUCUGCUGGGCCAAUACUAACACUGAGAGACGAAAGUGAGGGGAGCAAAUGGGAUUAGAUACCCCAGUAGUCC
This 426-nucleotide ribosomal RNA is filed under the name uncultured bacterium. RNAcentral describes it as "partial 16S ribosomal RNA". It matches the Rfam family "Bacterial small subunit ribosomal RNA", at positions 354 to 796 of the family's 1533-position model. The record is from RNAcentral.